AAGAUUAAGCCAUGCAUGUCUAGUAUAACAUUUGUACUGUGAACUGCGGACGGCUCAUUAAUCAGUUAUAGUUAUUUGAUAGUAACUACUACUUGGAUAACCGUGGUAAUUCUAGAGCUAAUACAUGCACUGAAUCCCGACUUCUGGAAGGGAUGUAUUUAUUAGAUAAACCCAACCCGGGCAACCGGUUCUUUGGUGAUUCAUGAUAACUUUUCGAAUCGCAU
This 224-nucleotide ribosomal RNA is filed under the name uncultured fungus. RNAcentral describes it as "partial 18S ribosomal RNA". It matches the Rfam family "Eukaryotic small subunit ribosomal RNA", at positions 40 to 274 of the family's 1831-position model. The record is from RNAcentral. Lineage: Eukaryota; Fungi.